Long non-coding RNA from Amphimedon queenslandica, 167 nucleotides. RefSeq lists it as uncharacterized. The record is from RefSeq and is a predicted model, not a curated record. The transcript has 2 exons. Lineage: Eukaryota; Metazoa; Porifera; Demospongiae; Haplosclerida; Niphatidae.
GACGAACUUACAAUGUAUGCUGGACGUGCAAAAAGAACAGCACUGCAAUUUUAAGGAAUGCUGGCUGUGAGAUUGAGCAUCAGUCUGAGAAGAAAAGGAGACAUCAUAGGGGUAAAUGGAAGCAUUGACGAGGUGGCGGGAGAGGAGCAGGAAGAGGAGGUGGCCAA